AUAGCGGGGAAAAGAACCCACCAGGGAUUGCCCUAGUAACGGCGAGUGAAGCGGCAACAGCUCAAAUUUGAAAUCUGAUCUCUUCGAGGUCCGAGUUGUAAUUUGUAGAGGGCGCUUUGGUGUUGGCUGCGGUCUAAGUUCCUUGGAACAGGACGUCAUAGAGGGUGAGAAUCCCGUCUGUGGUCGCAUGUCUUCACCGUGUAAAGCCCCUUCGACGAGUCGAGUUGUUUGGGAAUGCAGCUCUAAAUGGGAGGUAAAUUUCUUCUAAAGCUAAAUACUGGCCAGAGACCGAUAGCGCACAAGUAGAGUGAUCGAAAGAUGAAAAGCACUUUGGAAAGAGAGUCAAAAAGCACGUGAAAUUGUUGAAAGGGAAGCGCUUGCAGCCAGACUUGCUUGCAGUUGCUCAUCCGGGCGUUCGCCCGGUGCACUCUUCUGUAGGCAGGCCAGCAUCAGUUUGGGCGGUUGGAUAAAGGCCUCUAUCAUGUAUCUUCUCCGGAAGACCUUAUAGAGGAGGCGUAAUGCAACCAGCCUGGACUGAGGUCCGCGCAUCUGCUAGGAUGCUGGCGUAAUGGCUGUAAGCGGCCCGUCUUGAAACACGGACCAAGGAGUCUAACAUCUAUGCGAGUGUUUGGGUGUCAAGCCCGAGCGCGUAAUGAAAGUGAACGGAGGUGGGAACCCUCGGGUGCACCAUCGACCGAUCCUGAUGUCUUCGGAUGGAUUUGAGUAAGAGCAUAGCUGUUGGGACCCGAAAGAUGGUGAACUAUGCUUGAAUAGGGUGAAGCCAGAGGAAACUCUGGUGGAGGCUCGCAGCGGUUCUGACGUGCAAAUCGAUCGUCAAAUUUGGGCAUAGGGGCGAAAGACUAAUCG
RNAcentral lists this ribosomal RNA (867 nucleotides) under Acrocalymma sp. RNAcentral's name for it is "partial large subunit ribosomal RNA". It matches the Rfam family "Eukaryotic large subunit ribosomal RNA", at positions 47 to 937 of the family's 3401-position model. The record is from RNAcentral. Lineage: Eukaryota; Fungi; Ascomycota; Dothideomycetes; Pleosporales; Acrocalymmaceae.